AUGGACGACUCACUCAUGUUCAUGCAGUGGGCGGUGAGCACGCUGCAGCACGAGGAGGAUCAAGGAGGAGCCGAUGAGAACAGGGCUGCCUCCCCAUGCCACCAGGCGCUCUGCGAUUCCCCGGAGCUCGCGGAAGCACACAACAGGCAGAGCUCCGGCGCCGAUACGCGCCGCGGCGGUGGGAUCAUCAGCCCAUCCCCCGAUGCGGCCAUGCAGCAAGGCAGCAAUUCCACGUUGACGUCGUUCCAGGCCUCGGGCAGCAUGAGCAGUACCGGCACCACCAACAUCCAGUCCAUGAGCUGGAACUUCAACACGGCACAGCCGUCCAGCGUUGGCGGUGGCACACAGGCCGCCAGAGCACCCCUUCGUUCCGGCGUGUCACAGCCGACGAGGAAGGCCGCCGCAAGGAAAGUCGCCGGCUGCGCGCAAGACCACAUCAUGGCGGAGCGGAAGCGCCGGGAGAAGACCAACCAGCGUUUCAUCGAGCUCUCCGCCGUCAUCCCCGGCCUCAAGAAGAUGGACAAGGUAACGAUCCUUAGCAACGCAACGAGCUAUGUGAAACAGCUCCAAGAGAAGGUCAAGUCCCUGGAGGUGGCCGGCGGCAGCCAUAGGAGCGUUGAGACCGUGGUGCUGGUCAGGGAGCCGAGACGCCAUGCCGCGCCGAACGGCGACGAGGGGUCCAGUUUGUUCUACUCAGCAGCCCGGACAUGGAGCCAGCGGCAGCCCGAGAUAGAGGCAAAGCUUUCAGAGAACAAGGUGAUGUUGAGGAUCCACUGUGAAAUAAAUGGAAAGGGUGUUGUCGCCAGGGUUCUUGCGGAGUUGGAGGAGUUCCACCUUUGCAUCGUCAGCAAUAAUGUGAUGCCGUUCACGGAAUCCACCGUGAUUAUAACCAUCGUGGAGGAGGGCUUUACCGUCAAUGCAGAGGAAAUAGUGAGAAGACUCAACUAUGUACUGUGCGAAGAUAGCUGCAACAAGAGUUGUUACUAA
RNAcentral lists this ribosomal RNA (987 nucleotides) under Triticum aestivum (bread wheat). RNAcentral describes it as "partial small subunit ribosomal RNA". Lineage: Eukaryota; Viridiplantae; Streptophyta; Magnoliopsida; Poales; Poaceae. The record is from RNAcentral.